AGAAACGGUUCAUGUGGAUUUACGUAGUAAUUUGUGAUUGGCUAUUGGCAUCUCCUUUUUCAAAUUGAAUCAUUCGCAAGUUUAAACAAUUGUUUUCAUUACGUGUUUCGCGAAGCAGAGAUUGAUGUGCAGAGAUUUGAUAAUAAUAUAUGUAAACAUUUAGAUGACA
Molecule: long non-coding RNA, 169 nt
Organism: Bombus pascuorum
Lineage: Eukaryota; Metazoa; Arthropoda; Insecta; Hymenoptera; Apidae
Exons: 2
Source: RefSeq, a predicted model, not a curated record